UAAUCUGGGUGACUGCUAAUUUUUUAAAAUUAGAGGAAAGUCCAUGCUCGCACUAACUGAGAUGUUAGUAGUGUUUAUGCUAACGAAAAAAAUAACGUUAGGUAUAUUUAAAAAUAUAACGGCUGAAUUCAGUCCUUUGAAAAAAGGAUAUGAAUUCUAUAAAAGUGCUACAGAGACGAGAUAGCAAGUAAUUGCUAUUGUGAAACGGAGUAAACCCCUUAAGCGAGAAACCUAAAUUUUGGUAAGGGAAAUUGGUUGAAUAAAACGAAAGGAGACCAGUAAGUUUAUGAAAAUAAACUUAGAUAGAUUGUCACCAUUUACAAAACAUGGCUUAUAGGG
This 339-nucleotide RNase P RNA is filed under the name Bacilli bacterium. Its description in RNAcentral is "RNase P RNA component class B". It matches the Rfam family "Bacterial RNase P class B". Rfam says of the family: Ribonuclease P (RNase P) is a ubiquitous endoribonuclease, found in archaea, bacteria and eukarya as well as chloroplasts and mitochondria. Lineage: Bacteria; Bacillati; Bacillota; Bacilli. The record is from RNAcentral.